CCUACGGGAGGCUGCAGUCGAGAAUCAUUCACAAUGGGGGAAACCCUGAUGGUGCGACGCCGCGUGGGGGAAUGAAGGUCUUCGGAUUGUAAACCCCUGUCAUGUGGGAGCAAAUUAAAAAGAUAGUACCACAAGAGGAAGAGACGGCUAACUCAGUGCCAGCAGCCGCGGUAAUACAGAGGUCUCAAGCGUUUUGCGGAAUCACUGGGCGUAAAGCUUGCGUAGACUGUUUCGUAAGUCGUGGGUGAAAGGCGCGGGCUCAACCCGCGGAUGGCAAAUGUUACUGUGAGACUAGAUUAAUGGAGGGGGAACCGGAAUUCUCGGUGCAGCAGUGAAAUGCGUAGAUAUCGAGAGGAACACUCGUGGCGAAGGCGGGUUCCUGGACAUUAACUGACGCUGAGGCACGAAGGUCAGGGGAGCGAAAGGGAUUAGAUACCCUUGUAGUC
RNAcentral lists this ribosomal RNA (446 nucleotides) under uncultured bacterium. RNAcentral describes it as "partial 16S ribosomal RNA". It matches the Rfam family "Bacterial small subunit ribosomal RNA", at positions 338 to 795 of the family's 1533-position model. The record is from RNAcentral.